UCAAAAAUUUACUUUGUGACAAUAUUUUUGUAGACUGUAUCACACCUUGCAUUCUAAUAUUAUUUUAAUGCAGAACACUGCCCAAAAACGGAAUUAAUGCAUGUUCGAUCACGAAUUGUACAUGUUGCACGUGAAAGUCACGCAUUCAUGGUGGUAUUGAGAUUUCACGUGAACAAUAUAUUGCAACAAAUAUAGCAUCGAAUGUCAAUAUGAUGUCAGAUUAUCGUCAAUCAGCGUCUACGGUUGGUUGUAUUAUUUAGAUAUCUUCGCAUAUCGGAUUUCUUCCAGAAAUUAAACCCUCUUGGCUUCUAAUUUGCAACCGAGUACGUUUUAGUACGUUUUCAAUUGAAGACAACGAGCGUGCACAUCGAUAUUCCAAGUCAAAAUGCAAGUAAGUAAAUGGUUUAAAAUGCAAAGUAUAAAGCAUUGUCAAACACUCAUGCAUUCGCGGCUUGAUACAAAGCACGAAAACCCGUCAAAAAUAUAGCGUUUGUUCGGUUUGUAUUGGCAUUUCUGUAGCGUCAAGCAACUUCCUAAACUUGUCCAAGGCUUGGUAUAGGAAAUAUAUACAUAGUGCAGCCAUAUUGCAAUAUGCGCAGAUGCAUACGUUCUCAAUUUGGCUUUCAUCAUAUUUAAAUAAACAUGUCACUGUGUUCCCAAUCUUGAAGGGUGAAGCAAGAUCUAUUCAGCUUAUACACUGUACGUCCGGGUAUUUACAAAGGCUUCAAUGUAUCACAUUAUCCUGUAGUUCAAUGCUCUUACAGUAAUUUAACGUUUUAAUAUAUCGUAUGGAAUUCUUUGGCUUCCCCUAUACACUAUAGAGUUUCAUACUGCUUAGAAUAUAGGAAAGAAGCACAUCAGAGCAGUAGCAAUUUAAUUAAAUAAUGGAUGUUUCAGCUUUGUAUCUGACUUCCAGUAUCACUACCUCUUUAUUGUUAAUUUUAAAAAAAGUUAGAAUUUCAGUUCAGAACCUCUCUAUUGUGACUAGUUCAACCCAGAAGGGUAAUACCCUAGUAAGCAGGUUACCCUGAUCUAUUGUCUCCUUUGUGCAUGAGGUAGGGUUACAUGUCAAAUAGGUGAAGGUAACCCUUCAUAGCAGAAGGGUUCUGCUUUUGCUUACGUAAGCCACAUAAACACAUCGGUUAGGCUUCCCAGAACUUUACCAAGUGGGUGACUGUAUGUUAUAUGUCUUCAUUAAUUUAGUUACAUUAUUAUGUACAGCAUUUUACGACUGUCUAAAUGCCAGACACGAUUUAAGUAUAAUGGAUGUUGUAGCUUUGUUAUCUGAAGAUUUGACUAGUUCACUGUUCAGACUUGAGCUCCAGUACCACUACUGUACCUCACAAUGGCAUAGUACAGUAGUCAUAAGUACACAGUCAAAUCUGGACCUCUCUAUUGUAACUAUUGAAAAAAGUUUAACCCAUUAAGGGCCUUAUUUACUGGGAUGUAGGGUGACUCCAGCAGAAGGGUAAUACCCUAGUAGGGGUUACCCUAGUCUAUUGUGUUUGUGCAUCUAGGGUAGGGUUACCUAUCGAAUGGAUAGGUAACCUAAUAGCUAGUGGGAGAGCUCUGUUUGUUUAUGUAAGCCAUGCAUAUAAACACAUCAGCUAGGUUAGGGUUACCAAGUGGGUUACUGUAUGUUUUAUCUCUGUUGAAUCUAAACCGGGUGAAUAUUUUAACCCAUUAGGAUACUAUUACAAUGCCGUUGGAAGCAAAUUGUUAUUGGGCAGGCUCAAAAUUUUUUGUCGUUUUAUUUCUAAACUUGAUGUUGUCCAUCAAGAAUUUUUGUGAAACUAUUACAGUAUUACACUAGUAGAGACACUUUAUCGUGACAGUAAAAUCUUCUGGAGUAAUAGACAGUGCGAGUAAAUUUAAAUAACUUGGGCCCAUCAAGGUGCAUUUCCACAAGGUUAAAAGGCUGCCACAUCCCACAAGCCAUUUUGGUUUUGCGUGAAAUAAGCGAUUUAUAUAUAAUUUACGAAUUCAGUUGUCAGUGAUUUUCACAUAUUUCAGAUUUUAUUAUUUUUCUUGUUUAACCAUGGUAAUCAAGACCCAACGUUUCGACACUCCAGUCUAGUGUCUUCAUUAGGGGUUAUCUAAAGUUGCAAAUAAUGUGGCUUCUUAAAUACUCAAGGCCAAGGGAUGAUGUCAUCAUUUUUGUACUUUGUUAAUUAAUUAAAGAAAGGUAAUAUUUGUGGGAUGUAGGCUGUUGCAUAUUUGAAAAAAAACGAAAACCAAUACCGGAAAAAUACCAAUAUAUCGAUAUUUUUUCACAAUUGUGUUUUGCAAAAUUUGCAUCUCACCAGAUAAAUAAUGUACAAUGAAGUUAGUUUUUGUUUUUUUAAACAUUUGUAAUCCAGCGUUGUUUACGUUCUAAUAAACAUAUAGCUGUAUUACACCUUGCAAAAACAACGUAAACAAACAGGUUCAGCUCUCACUCUAACCCUAAUUAUGGAUUUUCCUGCAGAGUUAGCACAUUGAUCAUCUUUGUCCUUUUGAAAUAACUCCAAUCAGCACUUGAAGAAGCUUGAUAUGACAUUUGAAUAUAUACAAAAUAAUGUAAAUGUGAUAUUGAUAAUUUAACUGAGAAAUAUUGAUAUUGGGAACUAAAUUCACUUGGAGAUAAUUAGCAUAAAUAUGGGACAUAUACUGUACAACAUGCAUGGAUAUAUUAACCAAUCAUAAUGUAUUAUAAUAAACAUGCCUAUUGUGCUUUUUGCACUAAGAGGCAGAAGUUUUGAGGUUGUGAGUUUUAAUUGACCUUCGAGGGCAACGGCUUGAAAUGCAACAUUUUAAGCACUGUCCAGUGGGAUACUAGAAGUUUACGUGAAAUCUGGUAUCCACCCAACCUGAUUAUCAGGUUGAUAAUUAUCUGUAAAGAUGUUUGUGAUGUGAGUGUGUAUCGACCGACACACCGAGCAAGCUUGAAAAGUACUGUAUGCCUGGUCAUGGUGGAAAUCGAACCUACAACCUUUGGAAUACUUAAGCCCAAUGCUCUGCCAACUGAACUAGCUGCGCUGUCAGGUCGGUUCGAGUAUGUGAUAUUUCAGAACUGAGUGUAGUUCCAUCGAUAUCAAUGUGAUCUAAUAAUCAUGAUUUGCUGUGUUGGUGUUGUGUACUCACCAGGUUGAUAAUUAUCCACCACAAAAAAUCCAGUAGUAUCUCACAUUUGAAUAGUAAUAUUCAAACCUUGAAACAAUACAAAAGGAGUUGUCAAUUGCAAUGAAUUUGAUAUCAUUCGAAGGAUUCAUAAACAACAGAAAAAUACUGUAUCUGUGGAGGACAGAAAUUUAUUUAGUACCCCAAUGGACACUGAGCAUGUGAUGUCCAGCAUCCAAUUUUAAAUUAUGGUAUUUCAUGGAUAUCGGGAUGCUGCAAAUUUCAAGCCCUGGGCAACACAACUUCAGUUGAAUUAGCUGUACUAUAUGUAUUCACAAACUCAUGGUAAUGUUUGAUUUUAUUGUUUUUUUAGGAGAAACAUAUAAUGCCAGUCAUGAACACUUCUAAGUAUCUAGAUGUCUGCUCUGGUGGUGAUUGUAGUACAUCAUCCUCGAUUGUGUCACUUUCAAAUGAACACUUGUGCCGUAUUUGUCGUGAAACUGAUAAGAACGGAGACCUCUUUUCGCAUUGUCAAUGUAAAGGUUCAGUUGGUUUAGCACACACAUCUUGCUUGCUCCACUGGAUAAAGAAAUCUGGAUCAGUAACCUGUGAGUUAUGCAAACAGAAAUAUGUCACCAUUGCUCAUGUCAACAAAAGGUUUUGGCAG
Molecule: long non-coding RNA, 3766 nt
Filed under: Paramuricea clavata
Lineage: Eukaryota; Metazoa; Cnidaria; Anthozoa; Malacalcyonacea; Plexauridae
Source: RNAcentral